GAUGAACGCUGGCGGCGUGCCUAAUACAUGCAAGUCGAGCGAACGGACGAGAAGCUUGCUUCUCUGAUGUUAGCGGCGGACGGGUGAGUAACACGUGGAUAACCUACCUAUAAGACUGGGAUAACUUCGGGAAACCGGAGCUAAUACCGGAUAAUAUUUUGAACCGCAUGGUUCAAAAGUGAAAGACGGUCUUGCUGUCACUUAUAGAUGGAUCCGCGCUGCAUUAGCUAGUUGGUAAGGUAACGGCUUACCAAGGCAACGAUGCAUAGCCGACCUGAGAGGGUGAUCGGCCACACUGGAACUGAGACGCGGUCCAUACUCCUACGGGAGGCAGCAGUAGGGAAUCUUCCGCAAUGGGCGAAAGCCUGACGGAGCAACGCCGCGUGAGUGAUGAAGGUCUUCGGAUCGUAAAACUCUGUUAUUAGGGAAGAACAUAUGUGUAAGUAACUGUGCACAUCUUGACGGUACCUAAUCAGAAAGCCACGGCUAACUACGUG
RNAcentral lists this ribosomal RNA (497 nucleotides) under uncultured bacterium. Its description in RNAcentral is "partial 16S ribosomal RNA". It matches the Rfam family "Bacterial small subunit ribosomal RNA", at positions 28 to 507 of the family's 1533-position model. The record is from RNAcentral.